UACGGAGGGUGCGAGCGUUGUCCGGAAUCAUUGGGCGUAAAGGGCGCGUAGGUGGCGGGACAAGCGUGCGGGUGAAAGCUCGGGGCUCAACCCCGCGUCGGCCGUGCGAACUGUUUUGCUUGAGCACUGUAGAGGCAGGCGGAAUUCCGGGUGUAGCGGUGGAAUGCGUAGAGAUCCGGAAGAACACCGGUGGCGAAGGCAGCCCCCUGGGAUCAACACUGACGCUCAUGCACGAAAGCGUGGG
Molecule: ribosomal RNA, 244 nt
Filed under: uncultured bacterium
Lineage: Bacteria
Description: partial 16S ribosomal RNA
Rfam family: Bacterial small subunit ribosomal RNA
Source: RNAcentral